Molecule: unclassified non-coding RNA, 630 nt
Filed under: Trichoderma reesei
Lineage: Eukaryota; Fungi; Ascomycota; Sordariomycetes; Hypocreales; Hypocreaceae
Description: sequence contains 18S rRNA gene, ITS1, 5.8S rRNA gene, ITS2, 28S rRNA gene
Rfam family: 5.8S ribosomal RNA (bases 263-416)
Source: RNAcentral
GUAACAAGGUCUCCGUUGGUGAACCAGCGGAGGGAUCAUUACCGAGUUUACAACUCCCAAACCCCAAUGUGAACGUUACCAAUCUGUUGCCUCGGCGGGAUUCUCUGCCCCGGGCGCGUCGCAGCCCCGGAUCCCAUGGCGCCCGCCGGAGGACCAACUCAAACUCUUUUUUCUCUCCGUCGCGGCUUCCGUCGCGGCUCUGUUUUACCUUUGCUCUGAGCCUUUCUCGGCGACCCUAGCGGGCGUCUCGAAAAUGAAUCAAAACUUUCAACAACGGAUCUCUUGGUUCUGGCAUCGAUGAAGAACGCAGCGAAAUGCGAUAAGUAAUGUGAAUUGCAGAAUUCAGUGAAUCAUCGAAUCUUUGAACGCACAUUGCGCCCGCCAGUAUUCUGGCGGGCAUGCCUGUCCGAGCGUCAUUUCAACCCUCGAACCCCUCCGGGGGGUCGGCGUUGGGGAUCGGCCCCUCACCGGGCCGCCCCCGAAAUACAGUGGCGGUCUCGCCGCAGCCUCUCCUGCGCAGUAGUUUGCACACUCGCACCGGGAGCGCGGCGCGGCCACAGCCGUAAAACACCCCAAACUCUGAAAUGUUGACCUCGGAUCAGGUAGGAAUACCCGCUGAACCUAAGCAUA